RNAcentral lists this ribosomal RNA (425 nucleotides) under uncultured bacterium. RNAcentral describes it as "bacterial SSU rRNA". It matches the Rfam family "Bacterial small subunit ribosomal RNA", at positions 356 to 773 of the family's 1533-position model. The record is from RNAcentral.
GGGGAAUCUUCCGCAAUGGACGAAAGUCUGACGGAACAACGCCGCGUGAACGAUGAAGGUCUUCGGAUUGUAAAGUUCUGUGAUCCGGGACGAAGGCAUCAGUUGAGAAUAUUGAUUGAUGUUGACGGUACCGGAAAAGCAAGCCACGGCUAACUACGUGCCAGCAGCCGCGGUAAUACGUAGGUGGCAAGCGUUGUCCGGAAUUAUUGGGCGUAAAGCGCGCGCAGGCGGCCGUGCAAGUCCAUCUUAAAAGCGUGGGGCUUAACCCCAUGAGGGGAUGGAAACUGCAGGGCUGGAGUGUCGGAGGGGAAAGUGGAAUUCCUAGUGUAGCGGUGAAAUGCGUAGAGAUUAGGAAGAACACCGGUGGCGAAGGCGACUUUCUAGACGACAACUGACGCUGAGGCGCGAAAGCGUGGGGAGCAAAC